Molecule: ribosomal RNA, 523 nt
Filed under: uncultured bacterium
Lineage: Bacteria
Description: bacterial SSU rRNA
Rfam family: Bacterial small subunit ribosomal RNA
Source: RNAcentral
UCCNGGCCGUAAACGAUGGGUACUAGGUGUAGGAGGUAUCGACCCNUUCUGUGCCGGAGUUAACGCAAUAAGUACCCCGCCUGGGGAGUACGACCGCAAGGUNGAAACUCAAAGGAAUUGACGGGGGCCCGCACAAGCGGUGGAGUAUGUGGUUUAAUUCGACGCAACGCGAAGAACCUUACCAGGUCUUGACAUUGAUGGACAGAACUAGAGAUAGUUCCUCUUCUUCGGAAGCCAGAAAACAGGUGGUGCACGGUUGUCGUCAGCUCGUGUCGUGAGAUGUUGGGUUAAGUCCCGCAACGAGCGCAACCCCUAUCUUAUGUUGCCAGCACGUAAAGGUGGGAACUCAUGAGAGACUGCCGCAGACAAUGCGGAGGAAGGCGGGGAUGACGUCAAAUCAUCAUGCCCCUUAUGACCUGGGCUACACACGUACUACAAUGGGAGUUAAUAGACGGAAGCGAGAUCGCGAGAUGGAGCAAACCCGAGAAACACUCUCUCAGUUCGGAUCGUAGGCUGCAACUCG